AUGAAGCCUAGCGAUUGUAAAUUUAGUGGCGGACGGGUGAGUAACGCGUGGGUAACCUGCCUCACACUGGGGGAUAACAGUUAGAAAUAGCUGCUAAUACCGCAUAAGCGCACGGCAUCGCGUGAUGCAGUGUGAAAAACUCCGGUGGUACAAGAUGGACCCGCGUCUGAUUAGCUGGUUGGUGAGGUAACGGCCCACCAAGGCGACGAUCAGUAGCCGGUCUGAGAGGAUGAACGGCCACACUGGAACUGAGACACGGUCCAGACUCC
RNAcentral lists this ribosomal RNA (269 nucleotides) under uncultured Eubacteriales bacterium. Its description in RNAcentral is "uncultured Clostridiales bacterium partial 16S ribosomal RNA". It matches the Rfam family "Bacterial small subunit ribosomal RNA", at positions 59 to 339 of the family's 1533-position model. The record is from RNAcentral. Lineage: Bacteria; Bacillati; Bacillota; Clostridia; Eubacteriales.